UCUCGUUUCCUCGUUGUGCAAAAGGCACACACAGAGCAGGAGAAACAGACUGGCUGCCUGCAGAAGGGACACAAUGAGACUACUAGUAUAUAAAGUACUAAAAUACAUAAAGUAAAAAUAGUGCAGAGUCUUUCCUCUUAUUUGUCUCAUCAGUUUCAGGAAUCUUCAGUGUUACUUGUAACAAGAAUAGAUACAAAAAUCCAGCCAUAAAUGUGAUUUUUAAUCUGCUGUUUAACACCUUGGAUGCACAUCUUCAAGGGCCCUUAAAGCUGCUUCUUCAGCUUCCAACCUAGGCUCUUAAGGGGGAGCGAGAGAGACAGGACUGCUGGCUGGACUAACCCCAACAUGCUGCAGCAGGAAGCAAGAGCAUGAAGUGAUGCAGGCAGCUGGCAAACUGCUGUCAAGAAUCAGGGCUAAAAGAAGCAGCUCAUGGAAGCUGCAAGUGAGAGAUCAGCCCAAAACCAACAGGUGCAGGCCAGAAUCUCAGAGCCACUUUCAGUUGACAGCAGCAGACAGAAUUGGAGACAAGGAAGGCAGGGAAACUAGGUGUAACACAGUGAGCAUAAGGGCUUCUCAUGGUACUCCAAAUGUAGAGCAGCUGAGCAGAGAAUGAACCCAGUGGACUGAAGAACCCAGGAGAGAGAACACUUAGCAGCACUCAGGAAGAUCUGAUUUAGACACGGAUCCAUCCAUAAUGCACUAACCAGGGAGUGUCACUAGGGUCGAACAGAGAAGGGGAGUGCAUGUUGUGUUCUGACUGGAGUUACCACAAACAGUUUCACUUUCAAAAGAGCUGGAGUCGGUGAGCUUACCCCACUCUUCACUAACAGGAACAGUUUGAAAUGAGAUAGAAGGCAUGACUGGGUGUGGCACAGUAACAAUAUCUUUUAUUGCAGCAGCUAGCCUGCUUAUCUUGGGGAGAAAGGAGAGUCUCAGGGGUCAAUUCGUACAGUAAUUUUUAAAGAGGGUUCCGUGAAAGCUGUUUUUAGAACAAGCAGAUGUUCCCCUGAAGCAUUUGAGACACAAACAUUCCAGUAUUAAGGACCUCUGAGUGAAAAUAACAAUUGAUUUUUAUUGUUUAUGUCUUGCAUUUCUUACAGCCAACAGAAAAGGAAAAUAGUUGCUCAGCCAACCUACAGAGGUGAAAAGUUGGUGUGAAUGAGAAUGAGUAAUACAGUGCCUGUCUUCAGAAAUCAACUUGAAGUAUCAUACAUCACAAUCUUCAGAGCCCAAGCAGCUGGCUGCACCCUUGGCUCAUCAACUUUGUUACAUUUUGAGUUAUAAAUAAUGACAAUGACAAACCUUAAAAACAACCUUAACAUGACUGACAAGCAUCACGGACAAUGAAAUGUCAGAUUUCCAUGAAGACAGAAGCCAGAACCCAUGCUCAAUUUACAUUUCCCCUGGCUGAGCAGUGCCAUUAGAGAACUCAAAGAGAAUAAUAACCCAGCUGAACCCUUGCAGAACUAGCUCUGCCACUCCGCAUUAACCACCUCUCAUUCUCACAACCACCUUCAAGUGCCUCUUCACAGAAGACUGACCCAGUAUGCCAGCUGUCUGAAGCUAGUUAUCUUGGCAGGAGGCAAAAACAGACAUAGGAGCAUCAUGCCACAGUAUAAUAUGUUACUUAUUCCCUAAAUUCAAUACUUUCUCCAUUUAAAUGGGCAUUUAUAACGCCUCUUGCAUGCAGAAACAAGACUUGUUAGAGUGUCAACAGCAUAUAAAACUGCCUAGGAGAGGGAACCCUGACAGGUACAAAUAUUAACUGUCCUUUAAAAAUAGUUAACAUUCAGCGCAGCAAAAACACUGAAGCUUUCAUAAUUGGAAUGGGUUAGAAACUCGGGCUGAUCACUAUCUAGCAAGGCGUACUGCUUCUGAAAACUGAUAUUGGACUGGGACCAGUGAUCAGUAUUAAAAUUCCACACUUAAGAUAUUGCAAGAUAAAAUCAGCAUGGAAGCCAGAAUUCUAUAAGAGCAAUGCAAGAGUUCCACAACUGAAAACAAGAUAGAGCGAUUUUAAGAUUAAAAAACAAGAUUGAAGCACAUGCCACACUUCUAUCCAGUAAAUGUCUGAAGAGAAGAGCGACAGUCAUUAAGGUGGAGGUUUUCAAAAGGCACAGAUGACAGGAACACCAACAGUGUCUUCAAUGCUGUACCAGCACUAGAGGUAUGAACCUGAAAAGCUUACACUCUAAAAAUGGCAUUGUUAUAAUAUACCAGAUUAAAUAUACCAUAUUGUAGAUACAUGUUUGAAAAAUUUUCUCCCUUAUUCCUGCUGGAAACCAGUUACAAGUCUAGUUCCAAU
This is a long non-coding RNA of Dermochelys coriacea (leatherback sea turtle), 2305 nucleotides long. RefSeq lists it as uncharacterized. The transcript has 4 exons. The record is from RefSeq and is a predicted model, not a curated record. Lineage: Eukaryota; Metazoa; Chordata; Testudines; Dermochelyidae.